This 1536-nucleotide long non-coding RNA is filed under the name Homo sapiens (human). RNAcentral's name for it is "HSALNT0208522". The record is from RNAcentral. Lineage: Eukaryota; Metazoa; Chordata; Mammalia; Primates; Hominidae.
GGUCCGUGUUGUGUGGUAUGCCUCAGCUCUCUGCUCUGCUGGAGUCUAACCACCAGACAUUUUGAUUUCAACAAGAGUGCUGAUGAAAAAUAAAUAAGCUGGAGGUAAAAAAAAGAGGCAGUAUUCACAUAGAAUAUUAUCAGGGCUGCUGUGUGACUGUGCCAGAGGUGACUAAGGGAAAAGAAGAAAGCAAGCUUCUGAAAUGAGGGUUCAGGAAGUAACUGAGUGUGGCUUCUUGGUGCUGCUGUGGUGACAGAACAGGCUACGUGGCCAAGGCAAGAUCUACUAAAGCUGAACAUGUACAUAUUUUAUGACCCAACAAUUCUAAUCCUGUGGCUACAUCCAAUCCAGAUAAGUGCUAUGUCUACCCUCCUGCCUGAAGUAACCAAAAAUGGACAAAAUAUAUGAAGCAAUGGUUUUUAAGGCAUUGUAUAUCAAGCAAUGAAGCAUAAUGACCCCUGAGAGAUGGGAAAUGAAUAAGGUGAGCCCUACAAUUGUACUAGUUUACUGCUUUGAGAGAGUUUCUAGGCUGUGGUGCACGGAGGAAUAACCCAGGAAGAGACUGGCAGAUUCCCUGAGUUGAAGCGAGUGCUGAGAACCCAGGGAUACCAAGAUGGCUAAAAUUCUUAAGACAGAGUACUAGAGAAGAGAGACACAGAGAAAACUCUAGAGAUCUGCAGAGAUUUGCCUAUGACAAUUCAGCUGAGUGAUUCCCAUCAUAUGUUUGUGAGGAAACUAUCUGAGGUUUAAAAAAUAAUCACUCAAAAUGAAUAGAGGAUACAGUACUCCAUGCUCACACAGGGCUGGGAAUAGUGCCUGUUUCCAUCAUCCAGACUGGAAAAACCUCAAGAUUCCUGGGGCACUGAGUAGAAUACAGAUAAAAGUCCUGCUUCAUUAGUGAGGAAUAAUUAGCCCUAGACAAGCAAUGCUCUAGUCCUGUACAACAAAUGUGGUAUGAAGAUUAUAUGGUAUUGAGUUUAUAAAAUAUGAAAAAGUAAAAUAUAUAGCAACAGUAGCAAAAUUUGGGAUGGGAGAAAUGAAAGUGAACUAUUGGACAGUUCUCAUACUAUACAUGAAGUAGUGUAUUACUCGAAGGUAGAGUAUGCUAAAGAUAUAUGCUAUAAACUCUAAAAUAACUAAACGAAACCACUAAAAUAACAAGAGUCACAGUUGUAAUGGAUAUAUCAACUUGACUGGCCUGCAGUGCCCAGGUAUGUAGUCGAACAUUAUUCUGGGUGGUUUGAUGAAAGUGACUUUGGAUGAGAUUAACAUUUAAAUCUGUGGACUUUGAGUAAAGCACAUGACCCUCCUUGAUGUGAGUGGGUCUCAUCCAGUCAGUAGAAGAUCUGAAUACAACAACAGACUGACCUCCCCAAGCAAGAAGGAAUCCUGCUGGUAGAAGGCCUUUGGACUUGUACUGCAAUACUGGCUCCUUCUUGGGCCUCCAACCUGCCAGCCUGCCUUGCAGAUUUUGGACUUCCCAGUCUCCAUGAUCAUGUGAGCCAAUUCCUUAAAAUAAAUCUCUUUUAUAUAUAU